UUUUGAUCGACGUAGAAGCGACAAAGGGAAUUUCAAUCUCUGUUUUCUGGGUUGGUGGACCGUUUUCGCGCCGAGAUCUAAGUCAUCUGGAUUGUGUUGGAAUCGAUUGGCUGAAUUUUCCUUCCCGUAUCGUUAUUCUUCGAUUAAUUGAAGCCUGAGGGGAAUAACAAAGAUUGUAAGGAUUGUCUUAGCUACCACAGGCUUAUCACUUUUCCUGUGAGCCGAUUGCAUCUUUUUGUGGACUUCAGAUCAACUAGAGGAAAAAUGAUGCCCAUUUACAGGUACAUGGACUCACAUCCAUUCCAGAAAAGUUCAACUCCUUUCACAUAUCAAUAUCCGAGCAUGGAAACUGUCCCAUCUCACUCGAUGAUGGAUCCAACUAAAUCAUGUAUGCCACCUCAUGAUUCUGGGCGUAAUUGUUGGCAUUAUGGCUACCCAAUGUCGUCUUAUUCCUGCUGUAAUGGUGGUAAUUUCUUCCCUGGUUGUUACAAUUUUAGACCAUCGCAUCUUCCUGUUCCACCCUAUCAGCAUAUGCACUGCUAUGGUGGCUAUCCACACUGCCCCGAACCGUAUUAUGUUCAAUAUGUUCCUCCCACGCAUUAUAAUGUAGAGCAGCCAAGAUAUGAGUUUGACAAGAACAUGAUGAGGAAUCAUCACUGCUGUGGCUGUCCUAAUAGUUUGUGUGGUCAGAACCGGAAGGAAGAUAAAUGUGUGAAGAUUGAGGAGGAGAAACCGGAAAAUCAAAGGAAGGGGUCAUUGGUUCCAUUUCAAUUAGGAAAUAUCCAGUCCCCAAUUGUGUGGAUUCCACCUGACUAUGUGGGGAGCGAAAAAGAGAAAGAACCUUCUGAAACUGGUAAUGUGAAGCAGGAGAAGGAACGUCAGGGUUUGAAUUUGAUGGAUAAUUUGGAAUCUGUCGAACAGGCUCCGAAGUUCUGUAGUGGUUGGCCUCUGUCUGAUUUGAGUCGCCUCAGGUCAUUGUUGCCUGAUUCAGCAGGCAUGGGGGCCCAGAAUGUGCAAAAUAAGCAACAGGAGGACAGAAUAGAAGAGCUUCCCUUUCCUGUUAUUUGGAUGCCUGCUUUUGGUAGAGAGGAAACUGCUAGAAAAGCUGAUGUUCAUGAUAUGGAUGCUCCUGCACGACCUAGUAAUGAGCCUUCUAAUGCCGGAAAGCUAGUACCAGUAAAUAUCUUGAAAAAGGAUGAUGCUACAAGUGAGGGCCCUGAUGUUGUGAAGACUGUAAAUCAGAUUGAUAUUCCUGAAAUGGAUAUGAACCACAAGACUGAAGACGCCAAGAAAAAUAAAGAAAGGAGAUGCAUUCCAGUGGAGGCUGUCAAAGAUGAUGAGGAAAGGGAAUUGUCUAGAAAUAAUCUGAAAGGACGGUCUUCUUCAUCCUCGCCAAAGAAAUCAAGAUUACCCCCUGUUUGUCUCAGAGUGGAUCCUCUUCCAAAGAAAAAAAAUGGCAACGGCAGUUCAAGAUCUCAGAGUUCUCCGAAAUCAACUGCCGUGAAGGAAAGUUCUCAAUUGGAUUCGAAGAUCAAUAAUGUUACUGGAGAGCCAGAUGGUGAGAAGAUCAUCAAGACAGUAGAGGUGAAAACCCAUCAAACCGCUGAUGGUAAUCAAGUGCACAAGGAGGAUGUUUCUAGCGCUGGAGAGCCACUAAGCUUGCCAACACAGCCUCAAUCUCAAGAGAAGUCUUUCGACAAGCUCUGCAAGGAAGAAGAAGAAAGCCCAAGUAAAGAAUAUAGGGAGAAAGAUGAAACAAUGACCAAGGCAUCUCCCGAGAAGGCAGUUGAUGAAGGGUUGGAGGUAAGUUCAGGGGACUUGACUCAGGAAGAAGGGAAAUGCGAAAAACCUAGCUUAUCGGAUGUUGAAGCUGCCAUGCUCAUUCAGUCAGCUUACCGUGGCUAUGAAGUCAGGAAAUGGGAUCUUCUGAAAAAGAUGAAGCAACUUGCUGAAGUUCGUCAAAUGGUCGUUGAGGUUCAAAAUCGUGUGAAAGCUCUGGAAUUAGCUCCUCAAGAUGAGAAAGAACGAAUGUUUGUUGGAGAAAUGAUAAUGAGACUGUUGCUACAACUUGACACCAUACAGGGUCUGCAUCCAAGUAUAAGGGAGCUUCGAAAAUCUUUGGCAAAGGAACUUGUAGCUCUUCAGGAAAAACUUGACUGCAUGGUGAUUAACAAGCCUACAGAAGUAGUACCGGAAGCCUCCAUGGAAAGAGCUACUGAACAUUUUGAAAUGGAAACCCAUGACGACAUAAAGGAGGAGGAGCAACAGAAAGAUGUAGUAUCAAUUGGUGAAAUCUUUCCCAAGGAGGUAAAUGAAAGCAAUAGUCUUUUGGGAGAGUCACAUGGAGCUCAACCUCUUGGCGGAAUUGAUGAUAUGGCUGGCUCUGAAGGCAUGAAGGCCCCCACAGACGAAGAGCUUAGGCUAACAGCGGAUGGACCUGGUGAGUUACAAGAAGUAGAUGAUCAGAAUACCACCGUGUCUCAUAAUGAAGAUACCUCUGAAUUGUCCUCUCAAACCUUGUCCGACCAGAUCGAGGGCGAAAAAGUUAUGCCUUCGUUGGUGGGGGAUAAAAGAGCAGAUGAGGCUGAAUCAAUGGCUGAGAUGGAACAGAAUGUGAAGGUGAUGAAUGAUGCAGAGAAAAAUGUAGGUGAAGUUCUUCGAAUGGACAUGAACGAAGAAUCUUUAGACCAUCACCAAUAUUCUUCAGUAGGUGGGCAUCCUGCAGGAGAUUGUUCGGAAGUUCAUGUAUUGAACCCCCAUUCUGAUGAUCAAGUGGGAGCACAAGCAGGACAAGCGCCUGCAGCACUUGAUGAGAUAACCAUUUCAACACCUUACGAAAAUGGACAAACUGGAGACCAAUCGGCUUCUGAUAUGGAACUGCCAAUGAGAGAGGAUGACAUUCCAAAUAAAACCGAAGCUGACAAGCUUGAGCACAUUGAGAUGAGGAUAGAGGUAUCAGAGGCUGAAGAGAAUGCACGUGAUUUAGCAGCCGAACUAGAUAGUGAUAGAACCACUACUGAGAAGGAAGGAGCACCUCAUGAGUCUGCAGCACUGCCAGGGGAGCAAUCAAACUCUAAUGACGACCUGAACAUCCAAAACGAGUCAGUAACUGGUAAACACGAACAAGAGACAGCAAAUGAGGUGGAGAAAGUCCUCGAAGACGCGCAACAUCAGCCCAUACCAUCCAGUGAGAUGGACAACCAGCCUAGCCGAGCAUGUGAUGAAUCUGCAGAAUCGCCUGAGGAACUAUCACAAUCCUACCACGUCGAGAACAUCCAAAACGAGACGGUAACUGAGAAAAAUGAACAAAGAACUGCAGAUCUGAACAAUAAAAUGGCAGAAGGCAUGCUGCUAGACCUAUUUGUACUUGAUCCUGUGCCAUCCAGCAAGUUAGACAACCAGGGCAACGAGUUACAUGCUGCUGGGGAAGCAACUUCUAUUAAGAUGGGUGAAGUGUCACUACCUGCAUCACCAAAUGGACACCGAGAGAUGAUCGAUAAGGAUGAUUUGGUAAGUGACAGAGAGAUGGACAAAAAACUGGUUGAAGAAAAUGAGAAAAUGAGAGAGAUGGUGGAGAAGUUGAUGGAGGCUGGCAAAGAACAGAUAGCCAUCAUAUCUAAACUGAGUGGAAGAGUGAAGGACUUGGAGAAAAGGCUUGCAAGGAAGAAGAAACAAAGGCGAGGAUGUGCUAUGUCUGUAUCAAAGUCAAGACAUCCUAUGUUGAAUGGUCGCAUAAAAGCUUGAAAGGCUCCGGGAUCUGCAUUACUUUGUGGUAUCUCAAUUGUAAGGAAAUAAAGUUCUCAAAUUCAAGUAAAUGGGAGAGAUGGAAUAUAUGCAUAUUUGUGAUGGCAUCCCUUCAUCUCGCUGUAAGUCUUUGUGGUAUAAAAACAAAAUGCAUCUCUGUUAUCG
RNAcentral lists this unclassified non-coding RNA (3909 nucleotides) under Hevea brasiliensis (rubber tree). Lineage: Eukaryota; Viridiplantae; Streptophyta; Magnoliopsida; Malpighiales; Euphorbiaceae. The record is from RNAcentral.